AGGGUGACAGCCCCGUACACAAAAAUGCACAUGCUGUGAGCUCGAUGAGUAGGGCGGGACACGUGGUAUCCUGUCUGAAUAUGGGGGGACCAUCCUCCAAGGCUAAAUACUCCUGACUGACCGAUAGUGAACCAGUACCGUGAGGGAAAGGCGAAAAGAACCCCGGCGAGGGGAGUGAAAAAGAACCUGAAACCGUGUACGUACAAGCAGUGGGAGCACGCUUCGGCGUGUGACUGCGUACCUUUUGUAUAAUGGGUCAGCGACUUAUAUUCUGUAGCAAGGUUAACCGAAUAGGGGAGCCGAAGGGAAACCGAGUCUUAACUGGGCGUUAAGUUGCAGGGUAUAGACCCGAAACCCGGUGAUCUAGCCAUGGGCAGGUUGAAGGUUGGGUAACACUAACUGGAGGACCGAACCGACUAAUGUUGAAAAAUUAGCGGAUGACUUGUGGCUGGGGGUGAAAGGCCAAUCAAACCGGGAGAUAGCUGGUUCUCCCCGAAAGCUAUUUAGGUAGCGCCUCGUGAAUUCAUCUCCGGGGGUAGAGCACUGUUUCGGCAAGGGGGUCAUCCCGACUUACCAACCCGAUGCAAACUGCGAAUACCGGAGAAUGUUAUCACGGGAGACACACGGCGGGUGCUAACGUCCGUCGUGAAGAGGGAAACAACCCAGACCGCCAGCUAAGGUCCCAAAGUCAUGGUUAAGUGGGAAACGAUGUGGGAAGGCCCAGACAGCCAGGAUGUUGGCUUAGAAGCAGCCAUCAUUUAAAGAAAGCGUAAUAGCUCACUGGUCGAGUCGGCCUGCGCGGAAGAUGUAACGGGGCUAAACCAUGCAC
RNAcentral lists this ribosomal RNA (829 nucleotides) under Escherichia coli. RNAcentral's name for it is "partial 23S ribosomal RNA". It matches the Rfam family "Bacterial large subunit ribosomal RNA", at positions 361 to 1194 of the family's 2925-position model. Lineage: Bacteria; Pseudomonadati; Pseudomonadota; Gammaproteobacteria; Enterobacterales; Enterobacteriaceae. The record is from RNAcentral.